Molecule: non-coding RNA, 77 nt
Filed under: Hadesarchaea archaeon
Lineage: Archaea; Methanobacteriati; Hadarchaeota (SeqCode); Hadarchaeia (SeqCode)
Description: Fluoride sequence
Rfam family: Fluoride riboswitch aptamer (crcB RNA motif)
Source: RNAcentral
AAGAAAAAAGGCGAUGGAGCUCGCCGUUAACCGCUCCUGCUUUGCAUUAUGCGGGGGCUGAUAGCUCCUACUUUUCG